GGAAAAGAAACUAACAAGGAUUCCCCUAGUAACGGCGAGUGAACCGGGAAGAGCUCAAAUUUGAAAUCUGGCGUGCUCAGUGCGUCCGAGUUGUAAUCUAUAGAGGCGUUUUCCGUGCCGGACUGUGUCUAAGUCCCUUGGAACAGGGUAUCAAAGAGGGUGAUAAUCCCGUACUUGACACAAUGACCGGUGCUCUGUGAUACGUCUUCUACGAGUCGAGUUGUUUGGGAAUGCAGCUCAAAAUGGGUGGUGAGUUCCAUCUAAAGCUAAAUAUUGGCGAGAGACCGAUAGCGAACAAGUACCGUGAGGGAAAGAUGAAAAGCACUUUGGAAAGAGAGUUAAACAGUACGUGAAAUUGUUGAAAGGGAAACGAUUGAAGUCAGUCGUGACUGAGAGGCUCAGCCGGUUCUGCCGGUGUAUUCCCCUCAGUCGGGUCAACAUCAGUUUUGUUCGGUGGAUAAGGGCAGCUGGAAGGUGGCACCUCCGGGUGUGUUAUAGCCAGCUGUCGCAUACAUCGAAUGAGACUGAGGAAUGCAGCUCGCCUUUAUGGCCGGGGUUCGCCCACGUCCGAGCUUAGGAUGUUGACAUAAUGGCUUUAAACGACCCGU
Molecule: ribosomal RNA, 608 nt
Filed under: Papiliotrema terrestris
Lineage: Eukaryota; Fungi; Basidiomycota; Tremellomycetes; Tremellales; Rhynchogastremaceae
Description: eukaryotic LSU rRNA
Rfam family: Eukaryotic large subunit ribosomal RNA
Source: RNAcentral